UGAAUACGAGAUGCUACGGCGUCGAAGCAGUGUAUGUCAGACUUCCAAGAAAAGCUCGCAAUGUCAUAAAUAAAGAAUGCCUGUACCAUAACCGACACAGGUGGGUAGGUAGAGUAUACUAAGGGGCGCGAGAUAACUCUCUCUAAGGAACUCGGCAAAAUAACUCCGUAACUUCGGGAGAAGGAGUGCCUUCUUUAAGAAGGUUGCAAUAACAAGAUCCAAGCAACUGUUUAUCAAAAACACAGGUCUCCGCUAAGUCGUAAGACGAUGUAUGGGGGCUGACGCCUGCCCAGUGCCAGAAGGUUAAAGAAGUUGGUUAGCUUUUGCGAAGCUGAUGACUGAAGCCCUGGUGAACGGCGGCCGUAACAAUAACGGUCCUAAGGUAGCGAAAUUCCUUGUCGGGUAAGUUCCGACCCGCACGAAAGGCGUAAUGAUUUGGAUACUGUCUCGGAGAGGGACUCGGUGAAAUAGACUUGUCUGUGAAGAUGCGGACUACCUGCACCAGGACAGAAAGACCCUAUGAAGCUUUACUGUAACUUGAAAUUGAAAUUGGACUUUAUUUGCGCAGUAUAGGUGGAAGGCGUUGAAAGUAAUCUUGCGGGAUUAGUGGAGCCAUCAGUGAGAUACCACUCCUAUAAUGUUAGAUUUCUAACUUUGGAUCAUGAUCUGGUCAAAGAACAGUUUCAGGCGGGCAGUUUGACUGGGGCGGUCGCCUCCCAAAUGGUAACGGAGGCGCACAAAGGUUUCCUCUGAACGGGUAGAAAUCGUAUCUAGAGUGUAAAGGCAUAAGGAAGCUUGACUGUGAGACCUACAAGUCGAGCAGGGACGAAAGUCGGUCUUAGUGAUCUGACGGUGCUGAGUGGAAAGGCCGUCACUCAACGGAUAAAAGUUACUCUAGGAUAACAGGCUGAUCUCCCCCAAGAGUUCACAUCGACGGGGAGGUUUGGCACCUCGAUGUCGGCUCAUCGCAUCCUGGGGCGGUAGUACGUCCCAAGGGUUGGGCUGUUCGCCCAUGAAAGCGGUACGCGAGCUGGGUUCAGAACGUCGUGAGACAGUUCGGUCCAUAUCCGGUGUAGGCGUUAGAAUAUUGAGAGGAGCCUUCUUUAGUACGAGAGGACCGAGAAGGACAUACCUCUGGUGUACCAGUUAUCGUGCCAACGGUAAACGCUGGGUAGCUAUGUAUGGAGAGGAUAACCGCUGAAAGCAUCUAAGUGGGAAGCCCACCUCAAGAUGAG
Molecule: ribosomal RNA, 1235 nt
Filed under: metagenome
Description: bacterial LSU rRNA
Rfam family: Bacterial large subunit ribosomal RNA
Source: RNAcentral